RNAcentral lists this long non-coding RNA (177 nucleotides) under Cavia porcellus (domestic guinea pig). RNAcentral describes it as "lncRNA (ENSCPOG00000040115.1)". The record is from RNAcentral. Lineage: Eukaryota; Metazoa; Chordata; Mammalia; Rodentia; Caviidae.
GAAAGAAACAGCACAGUUCUCUGACAGAACUAAUAAGUUCCUUCAGGAUUUAUUGCAGCCUUCAAAUUAAAGAAAGAAUGCCACCCAUGAUCUGUGUCUCCAUGGAGUUGUCCUUGUCUCCUGUGUACCCACAGCCCCAAGGAGGAUCUGUCCAGCCAACUGUGGGCCUGACUCCUG